UGGCUGUAAUGAUGGUGGUGCCUGAACAAGGUUUUAGAGAGUGGACACUACCUAAGUACCUUUUUCAGUAGCUUAAGUCUAACUACUAAAUGCUCUUUCAUGGGAUUAUUGUUGAGUUCGAAGAUGAUUCUCAUAUUCUUCUGUAGAGGUCAUCUUUGUUCGGGCCAUUAGAGAAGAUUGAUCAUAGGGUUUUGUGAAAGAG
This 202-nucleotide long non-coding RNA is filed under the name Gossypium raimondii (Peruvian cotton). Its description in RNAcentral is "long non-coding RNA (GRAI_LNC001953)". Lineage: Eukaryota; Viridiplantae; Streptophyta; Magnoliopsida; Malvales; Malvaceae. The record is from RNAcentral.